RNAcentral lists this ribosomal RNA (539 nucleotides) under uncultured bacterium. RNAcentral describes it as "bacterial SSU rRNA". It matches the Rfam family "Bacterial small subunit ribosomal RNA", at positions 355 to 896 of the family's 1533-position model. The record is from RNAcentral.
UAAGGAAUAUUCCGCAAUGGAUGAAAGCAUGAUCCAGCCAUGCCGCGUGUGUGAAGAAGGUCUUAGGAUCGUAAAGCACUGUUAAGUUGGGAGGAAGGGCAGUAAAUUAAUACUUUGCUGUUUUUCGUAACCGACAGAAUAAGCACCGGCUAACUCUGUUGCCAGCAGCCGCGGUAAUACAGAGGGAGCAAGCGUUAAUCGGAAUUACUGGGCGUAAAGCGCGCGUAGGUGGUUCGUUAAGUAGGAUGUGAAAUCCUCGGGCUCAUCCUGGGAAAACAUUCAAAACGUCGACUAGAGUAUGGUGAGGGUGGUGGAAUUUCCUGUGUAGCGGUGAAAUGCUAGAUAUUGGGAGGAACACCGGUGGGAAGGCGGCUCACUUGCCGGAAUGUCGGUAGGCGGAAAGCGUGGGGAGCAAACGGGAUUAGAUACCCCGCUAGUUCUCGCCGUAAACGAUGAGUGUUGUGUAGCGGGUAUCGACCCCUGCUGUGCCGAAGUUAACGCAUUAAGCACUCCGCCUGGGGAGUACGGUCGCAAGGCUG